UACGUAGGUGGCGAGCGUUGUCCGGAUUUACUGGGCGUAAAGGGAGCGUAGGCGGACUUUUAAGUGAGAUGUGAAAUACUCGGGCUCAACUUGAGUGCUGCAUUUCAAACUGGAAGUCUAGAGUGCAGGAGAGGAGAAUGGAAUUCCUAGUGUAGCGGUGAAAUGCGUAGAGAUUAGGAAGAACACCAGUGGCGAAGGCGAUUCUCUGGACUGUAACUGACGCUGAGGCUCGAAAGCGUGGGGAGCAAACGGG
RNAcentral lists this ribosomal RNA (253 nucleotides) under uncultured bacterium. Its description in RNAcentral is "partial 16S ribosomal RNA". It matches the Rfam family "Bacterial small subunit ribosomal RNA", at positions 524 to 776 of the family's 1533-position model. The record is from RNAcentral.